RNAcentral lists this unclassified non-coding RNA (208 nucleotides) under Hevea brasiliensis (rubber tree). Lineage: Eukaryota; Viridiplantae; Streptophyta; Magnoliopsida; Malpighiales; Euphorbiaceae. The record is from RNAcentral.
GUGUUUCUGAUAUGAUUUUCUUGAUUCUGAACUUUAAUUGAUGACUUUAUUUAUUGAUAUUAGUUGAGUUUAAUUUGGUUCUUGUUUGAAUAUGCUAUUAGGGUUUUCUUUUUUGCGUUUUCGGGUCCAGUAGACCAGAUUUUUGUCAAUGAUGUUUAUGUUAGGUUGUGUUUGAUUACAGGUAGUGGCAUUUUGGUUAUUAGAUAUA